This 21-nucleotide non-coding RNA is filed under the name Caenorhabditis elegans. Lineage: Eukaryota; Metazoa; Nematoda; Chromadorea; Rhabditida; Rhabditidae. The record is from RNAcentral.
UCAACCAAGAAGAGAUAAACC